GUGCGCUCCUUAUUUUUAUCGAACAUGUCAUUACAUUUCAUGUUAUUAUAUCCACAUUUCUAUAUGUAUUAACUGAUGCCCAUGAAUACACAGGAGAGCACGCCCGUACACAUAGCUAACGAACUACUCUAUUUUUUUUUUUUUUUGUGGAAAUAAUGAAGGCCAUCCUUUCGCCAUUUACCCUUAUCUCGUUAGUUGACGCUCUGACGCCGCCCGAGCGGGUCUCUCUCUCUGCCUGCGUUAGCCACUCCUGUCGAUAAUUUCAGCUGGUUAUGCAUUGUCGUCAAGUCCAAACUUACAGCCAUCAUGAAUAAGGUCGAGUUUGCAGUGAUGAUAUUAAGCAUUGCUUCCUCUUCCUGGUGUCUGCCGCCGCAGAUUAACAGCACUGAGGAGGUGUUGCCAACUAGUCCGGAGAUCACUUUAUUUUGCGAGGGCACGGCGCCUCUCCUUUGGUCUUACUCUGAACACGGCGUUCAGAGGAAAUGCUUAUCGUGUGAAACAGUUAAGUAUCGUUUCAGUUUAUUUAUUUUUUCGCUUUGUCUCGCACCCCAGCACU
Penaeus monodon (black tiger shrimp) is the source of this 556-nucleotide long non-coding RNA. RefSeq lists it as uncharacterized. The transcript has 3 exons. NCBI's taxonomy places the organism in Eukaryota, Metazoa, Arthropoda, Malacostraca, Decapoda, Penaeidae. The record is from RefSeq and is a predicted model, not a curated record.